AACGAACGCUGGCGGCAUGCCUAACACAUGCAAGUCGAACGAGGCCUUCGGGUCUAGUGGCGCACGGGUGCGUAACGCGUGGGAAUCUGCCCUUAGGUUCGGAAUAACUUCGGGAAACUGAAGCUAAUACCGGAUGAUGACGUAAGUCCAAAGAUUUAUCGCCUAAGGAUGAGCCCGCGUAGGAUUAGCUAGUUGGUGAGGUAAAGGCUCACCAAGGCGACGAUCCUUAGCUGGUCUGAGAGGAUGAUCAGUCACACUGGAACUGAGACACGGCCCAGACUCCUACGGGAGGCAGCAGUGGGGAAUAUUGGACAAUGGGCGAAAGCCUGAUCCAGCAAUGCCGCGUGAGUGAUGAAGGCCUUAGGGUUGUAAAGCUCUUUUACCCGGGAUGAUAAUGACAGUACCGGGAGAAUAAGCUCCGGCUAACUCCGUGCCAGCAGCCGCGGUAAUGUGACUACUG
Molecule: ribosomal RNA, 460 nt
Filed under: uncultured bacterium
Lineage: Bacteria
Description: bacterial SSU rRNA
Rfam family: Bacterial small subunit ribosomal RNA
Source: RNAcentral